CCUACGGGAGGCUGCAGUGGGGAAUAUUGGACAAUGGGGGGAACCCUGAUCCAGCCAUGCCGCGUGUGUGAAGAAGGCCCUCGGGUUGUAAAGCACUUUCAGUGAGGAAGAACGCCUGGUGGUUAAUACCCAUCAGGAAAGACAUCACUCACAGAAGAAGCACCGGCUAACUCCGUGCCAGCAGCCGCGGUAAUACGGAGGGUGCGAGCGUUAAUCGGAAUUACUGGGCGGAAAGCGCGCGUAGGUGGCUUGAUAAGCCGGUUGUGAAAGCCCCGGGCUCAACCUGGGAACGGCAUCCGGAACUGUCAAGCUAGAGUGCAGGAGAGGAAGGUAGAAUUCCCGGUGUAGCGGUGAAAUGCGUAGAGAUCGGGAGGAAUACCAGUGGCGAAGGCGGCCUUCUGGACUGACACUGACACUGAGGUGCGAAAGCGUGGGUAGCAAACAGGAUUAGAUACCCCGGUAGUC
This 465-nucleotide ribosomal RNA is filed under the name Vreelandella stevensii. Its description in RNAcentral is "partial 16S ribosomal RNA". It matches the Rfam family "Bacterial small subunit ribosomal RNA", at positions 338 to 795 of the family's 1533-position model. The record is from RNAcentral. Lineage: Bacteria; Pseudomonadati; Pseudomonadota; Gammaproteobacteria; Oceanospirillales; Halomonadaceae.